RNAcentral lists this unclassified non-coding RNA (21 nucleotides) under Mus musculus (house mouse). RNAcentral's name for it is "oocyte_clustered_small_RNA8691". Lineage: Eukaryota; Metazoa; Chordata; Mammalia; Rodentia; Muridae. The record is from RNAcentral.
UCAGCAGUCAAUGGUUGCAGG